Molecule: unclassified non-coding RNA, 3264 nt
Filed under: Lingula anatina
Lineage: Eukaryota; Metazoa; Brachiopoda; Lingulata; Lingulida; Lingulidae
Description: gTP cyclohydrolase 1, transcript variant X3
Source: RNAcentral
CGCGAGCGGAGAGCUUAAGUACGGCAGGGACGGGCUUCGUACAGGUAGUACGUCUUUUGUAUGAGCAACGAGAUCAAUCUCACAAGACUUUAAUAUGUCUGUCAUGAGAGAUGAACAGUAUGGACUCUAUGAGGACAAAAACAACAAGCGAAGUAUAACUAACGGGAGAACUCGCACGCUAAGCUGCGAUGCGGACUUUCCCUCAGCGCCAGGAAGGUUACAUAGUGUUGAUGAAGAAAAUCAAAACGAAGAGAAGGAACGUCUCUGUGAAAUGACAGACGCAUAUACACAUUUACUAAAAGGGAUUGGUGAAGACGUUUCAAGAGAAGGUUUGUUAAAAACCCCUGCCAGGGCAUCAAAAGCAAUGUUGUUCUUCACAAAAGGUUAUGAAGAAAAGAUUCAAGAUGUCCUAAAUGAUGCCAUAUUCGAUGAAGAUCAUGAUGAGAUGGUGAUAGUCAAAGACAUUGAAAUGUUUUCCAUGUGUGAACAUCAUCUGGUGCCUUUUAUUGGGAAGGUCUCUAUAGGUUAUUUGCCAAACAAAAGAGUCCUUGGACUUAGUAAACUUGCGAGAAUAGUAGAAAUUUUCAGUAGAAGAUUACAAGUUCAAGAAAGAUUGACAAAGCAAAUUGCAGUUGCAUUAACGGAAGCCAUACAACCAGCUGGCGUAGGAGUGGUAAUUGAAGCAACGCAUAUGUGCAUGGUUAUGCGUGGGGUACAGAAGCUCAACAGUAAAACUAUCACCAGUACUAUGCUUGGAGUAUUCAGAGAAGAUCCCAAGACCAGAGAGGAGUUUUUAACCCUUACAAGAACAUAGAAAUGGUAUAUUUUAUUGUUUAGGUACAAGAUUGCCAGUUAAUGUUGUCAGAAAUCUACUAGUACCCUUUCAAGUGUAUUCUUUAUACGGUAUAUAGUGAAACUUUACAUCAAAACCCUAUUAAGGAGAUGAAAGUUAUGAAUAAACAGCCAAAGCAUUCAACAAAUGAUUGGCUGUCUGGUUUUUAAGCAGCCAUAGAAGAAUAGGUUGCAGCAUUUUCUUUCUGUGUUAAUCAUGUAAAGAAUAUUUACAAAAAUGAAAUCAUUGUUAUGAUCUCUGUAAAAUAGUUUAUCGGUGUGCUACCAUUAUAUAUAAUAUAUAUAUAAUGGUGUAUGAUCACAAAUCAUUUGUGAGACAUUAAUCAAAUGUCAAGAAAGUCCAUAUCUUUUCACUUGAAAUAUAUGUAAUUUCUCACAAACUAAAAGAAAAAGAUGUAUAGAAGCUACAAAAGUCUAAUGUGCAAAGGAGGCUCAAAUCUGACUUUGGUUUUGUCCUUAUUUUUUAGUGUAAAAAUCACUCUGCUGCAUUCCAUACCAUUGCAGACCUAUGCAUUUAUAUUGUGGUAUGUAUUUACAAACUAGGUUGGAACAUUUUCAGUGUGGCAACCAUUUCAUAGUAAAACUGAAAACUCUUCUCUCUUUUUAAUUCACUUUUCCACAGAUAGUGAUGCUCAUGUGCCAACUAUGAUCGCAUUCACAACGAGUUGUUAAAUUGUUAAGAGGCUAAAUUGUUUCUGAAAAUACUACAGACCCAGUGAUUGUUGCUUUUUGUCAAGGGGCCCAAUACUGAUGCUGGACUCCAGCUUCCUAUUAUAUAUAUGUUAAUUAUAUAGGAAUUACUUAACAUAAAAAAAGUCAGAUUGUGCUUUGCUAUGUGCAGAACCUGAAUAUCUCUUUAAGACUUGGACAAUUAAUUCCAGACAUUGUUGUUCCAAUCUUUAAAAAAUCAUUAAUCACACAACUGUAACUGGCAAUCACUGUUCUGUAUAUUUAGCAGUUUAUCAGAAAACAAUACUUUUUUCUUACUUGUAGAUAGAAAAAUUAGCAGAAGUUCCUUGAAGGCUUUAUAUAGUAAUUAACAAAACAAUGAGGUACUACUUUUCAUUGGAAUUCCCAUAGUAUUUUGAUUAGAUUUCUUAUAUAUAUUGUUGUAUUGUCUUCCUCCCUCUUACCUACCACAUUCAUUUAGUAUAUUUUGAACAUGUUUCAUAUUUAUAAGUUUGAACUUCCCCAUCGCUGGUAAAACCUGGGUAAAGUUUGUCAUGAUAUUUAUUUAACACAGUGGCAAAGAUUAUGUCAAGUCGUCAUUAAUAAGACUGACACUGGUAAGCUGCAGUAAUGCCACGAUCCAUUCUUAAGUUUAUUUUCAAGUGCACAUAACUAUAUUACAUUGACUCUUUCUGCAUAUCAUUUCCAUUGUUAUAGAUGUUUAAAGGUAUUGGCAAAAUGUCAGAUUCUGCAUUAACACUAAAACAAAAAAGAUAAGCAAGUAUUAUGACAUAGUGGCCUGUAGUCGAGCAUAACUAUACUUGCCAAAAAAAGAAAGGCAUGUUAUGUCUAUGGUUAUCAUAAACUUUUUCAUACAAUAGUGUCGCCUUAAGAUAAGUUUCUUCAACCAUUGAUAUACAAAUUAAAUUUCACAUAUAACGUACAGAAAUUGGAUUACUAUUUGUUGUACGUGAAUUUUAUUUUGUAUAUCAACAGGUUAGUAAACUCUUACCUUAUCUAGGGUAGUAAAUUAUUCAGUAACAUAUGUGCUCUCCCCUGGCUGCAAUACAGGCCAGUGCCCUCCUCUUCAUAGAUUGUACAACCUUGAUUGGAGAAACCGGGCAUCCUUCUCCAUGCUUCUACCAUUACAACACUUAUCUCUAUAUUGGUGGUAGCCUGCAGCUUGUGGUUAUGAAGUUGUCUGCCCACUGUGCCCCAGGCAUGCACAAUGGCAGACAUGUCUGGAUCUGCUCCUGCUGCAGGUAGUAUGCCUAUGAUAUCCCUGCAGUAUAAGAAUGAGUGUUUUGCUGCUGGACCAAGUGUAGGGUUGGGUUUUGAUGCAUGGAUGGUACAACGGCUAUCCUUAGGCCUUCAUAUCUGUACCGCUGGCCAGUCAGAUUUCCACCAAACACCACUAGUUCUGAGUGGAAAUUGACACUAGUCUCACGCCCAACCAAACCAUAACACUAGGCCAUCCCUGCUUUGAGUGUGCCAAUGGGACAACCCCUGUCCAGUUCAGACAGCCAUGGCAUAAUGUCAGCACGGAAUUUAGUCUCUUAAACUUGGUUUUCUGAUUCUUGUGUCCACUAGCAUUGAAUUUGUAAAAGUGAUUUCUGCAAGACUUUUGUCCAAAUUUGUGUUUAGAUGAUCAUGAGAUUUCUGAAAAAAUGAAGCUAGCCAUUGUCUGGAAUCACUAAAGCAUAUUAGUACUCUACUGAAAGGCUAUAUUUGGAUAUUUUGAAG